AUGGAUUGUGACACCAUCUUCUUCACGUGGUGGUCCAAGGCCGUCGAUGAAUCCCCGGGCUGCCUACGGAAGGGCCUCAACUCCAUCGUCGCACUCUCCGCUUGGUCCAUUUGGAAGCACCGCAACGCGGUCAUCUUCAAGAACCGGUGCCCCUCCACUGAAGACCUAAUACGCUCGAUCAAAGACGAUGCCCGCCUCUAGGCUAAGGCGGGUGCUCGAGGGCUAGCCGUGAUUAUCCCUGUAACUUAA
This 249-nucleotide ribosomal RNA is filed under the name Triticum aestivum (bread wheat). RNAcentral's name for it is "partial small subunit ribosomal RNA". The record is from RNAcentral. Lineage: Eukaryota; Viridiplantae; Streptophyta; Magnoliopsida; Poales; Poaceae.